Molecule: ribosomal RNA, 253 nt
Filed under: uncultured bacterium
Lineage: Bacteria
Description: partial 16S ribosomal RNA
Rfam family: Bacterial small subunit ribosomal RNA
Source: RNAcentral
UACGGGGGGGGCAAGCGUUGUUCGGAAUUACUGGGCGUAAAGGGCUCGUAGGUGGCCAACUAAGUCAGACGUGAAAUCCCUCAGCUUAACUGGGGAACUGCGUCUGAUACUGGAUGGCUUGAGUUUGGGAGAGGGAUGCGGAAUUCCUGGUGUAGCGGUGAAAUGCGUAGAUAUCAGGAGGAAUACCGGUGGCGAAAGCGACUCUCUGGACGGCAACUGACGCUGAGGCACGAAAGCGUGGGGAGCAAACAGG